GGCUCAAUGCGCUCUGGCUAGGCUCCUGCUACACUGCUGUCCUGGAGAGCAGCUCUGCGACCAGGGCCACUGUGGGCGCCUGUAGAUGCUGUUUAGAGACCAGAAAAUCUGCAGAUCAUAUUCUGUGGGAUAGAUUCUUUUGAAGACUUGAAAAUUCAGCGUGGACAUUUAAAACCAGCACUGUCAUUUCUGAGUAUGCUGACUGCUUUCAAUGUGAGAAAUUCCUCCAGGAAGACAAGGACUACCAAGCUCUGAGAGGACAGAAAGGAGCCUGCACUUUAAAAA
Castor canadensis (American beaver) is the source of this 285-nucleotide non-coding RNA. The record is from RefSeq and is a predicted model, not a curated record. Lineage: Eukaryota; Metazoa; Chordata; Mammalia; Rodentia; Castoridae.